GCCACCGCCGCGCUCGGAGCUCGGAGCUCGCAGCUCGCUUCGCCCUGCGCCUCUGUCGCCGCCGCCGCUGCCACCGCCACCCGCACACCCUUGGCGCGUCCACGCACCGCUCCGCUCCUUGCAGCCGGCACAGAGUGCGCUUAUCGCUCGUUCAGGGCAGAGUAUCCCCGUUGCAGCCCCUCGGCGAUGGCCACCAAGAUCGACAAAGAGGCUUGCCGGACGGCGUAUAACCUGGUGCGCGACGACAGCUCGGCCGUCAUCUGGGUGACUUUUAAAUACGACGGCUCCACCAUCGUCCCCGGCGAGCAGGGAGCGGAAUAUCAGGACUUCAUCCAACAAUGCACAGAUAAGAGCGUUUUAAAGCCUCAUAAAAACCUCUCCCGUCUGGGCAUCCGGAGCCGUCGGAGGUGACCACACAGUACCCUUUCUAGGCACGACGGCUCCUUUACCCCCUGUGAGUCACUAGUUUUCCAGCACCAGCUCACGCGGUUUCAAACUCCAGCCCUCUCCACUUUACCCUUUCUUAGGUCAGCAAGCCCAAAUAAAAACAAUCCUGGAGUUUAUUGCAGGAGAAGGAAACUCUCAGCGGCCCCCGCCCCCCACAAUCAUUGUCCUUGUGCUGGUGAUAUGUGCUUAUUUGUAGAGCCAAGUAUGAAAGAGUACACCCCGUGUGAUCCCAUUUAUAUGAAAUGAUAGAAAAGGCAAAGCUAAUCUGUGGUGUGAAAAGUGUGAAAAGUGGUCACGCUUGGGGGUGGGUAGCCGCUCCCUGGGAGCGGGCAUGCGGAAGGUGGGGGUGGGUUCGGGGGGGGUUGGAAAUGUUCCAUAUUUUUUUCUGGGAGGUGGUCACACAGGUGUGUACCUAUUUAAGAAAUCGUCCAGCAAAAUGCUUAAGAUCUGUAAACUUUGGGCCCUUCCCUGGGGUGUGUGGAACCAUGAAGAGGAAAGAAGCCGUGGCUCUAUGACCACAUCCCCUUCCCCCCUUCCCUGGAAGCUAAAGUCAUUGGUAAUGGGGCUCUUUAAAGCUGGGGUUGGACAAUGGGCUCUUGAAUGGUCCCCAGUCUCUGGCUUGGAAAGAGAUAUAUUCAGACAAAGGCAGUGCAGCAGGGACGUUAGGGCGGGGACGCAGGGUCAGAAGGUGGCCACUUUCUAGCUCUGUGAUUUGGGGCGAAUUAUUUAACCUCCUGGGGCUGGGGGGAGGGGAGGAGGCUGGGUUUCCUCAUCUGUCGUCUUAGAGAGCAGUUGUGAGCAUAGGUGAGUCAUUGUGUAAAACACUCAGGAGGGUGCCGUGGCCGGUGACAUGGUCGUUUGUGAAACAGAUAAAACGUACACAGGACGGGAGGGAUCAGGGCUCCUUGCCUUUCUUCACGUAACAUUCUGGGUUUACUCUAAUUCAAAGAAUAUUUAUGAAAUGUCUGCUAUGGGCUGACUGGUACGAAGGGGGUGUGUGUGUGUGUGUGUUUUCCCAAUGUUCUCGCAACUGAAAUGUCUCCCUGAGAGAUGCCUCCAGAUGUUCAUUCAUUGCUUUUGUAAAGGGUCGUUUAAAACCUCAGAUGCAGAAAGUACUACAACAACUCACAUCUAAUAAUGUGCACAGGGCCUCGUGCGCAGGGCUGGCAGGGCCGGGGUUGGAACCCCAUCUCUCAACCGCUAUUAUCCUUCCUUCCGCCCCUGUGAUGGUUGCUUUCGCAAGUGGAGUAAGUCCAGACUCCUGACUUUCCCCCGAUUUGGUCCAGAACUAGGAAGUUGAGCAGGGUCGUUGGCCUUGCUGGCUCUGAGCUUUCUCAGAGGCCAGCUUCCUUUCUCUCUGGACAGUAAAGUAGCCCUUUCUUUCCUCCGGCUGGCCCUCUACCUCCCACCCCCCAUCAGGCUGGGGUCCCCUCCCCCCUCCCCGUCUCGGAAGCUAUUGUUCUCUCCGUUGAGUAGGAGAAGGUGACCCUGGGGAAGAAAGAGCAUCCUGUGAGUGGAUUCCGAACAGAUGAACAGAUGCUCCUGCUCCCAGCGUCGCGCGGGCGAGGCUGUGGUCAGAGGACUCUUCCGCCCUCCCCGGGGCUUUGUGGUUUUCUACUCUGACCCUUCCCCCAACGACGGGGAUGGGAGUGGGGAGGGCCUGGUGGGAGAACUAAAAAUGCUUUCCCUGCUGCUUGUUGAUCUUAUGAAUGGGCCGUGGGAUCUGAAGGCUCCGUCUGCUUUGGCUGGAAGUCUGCCUUCCUUCCCCAGCCAUCUGUUGGACAAAUGUAUAGGCGAGUUACGGUUGCCGUGUGUGCUCUUGUUUGCCUUAGAAAAGCUUGUUCCAUCCCACUGCCGUGUCCCCAUAACGCAGCGAUAAAGGAUUCCGAACACUGACCAGUAAUUCUAUACGCAAGUCGCUGUGCUUAACACACUUCGUCUCCCUUCCUGAGCUUGUUUCCUUUCUGUGGGUGAGGAAACCAAGGCCCAGAGAGGUUAAGUGACUUGCCUGAGAUCACACAGCAAGGUUGUGGCAGAGCUGAACUUGCCCCCAGGGAAGGCUGGCGCCAAGGCCAGGCCCACUUUGUAAUGAAGGCAGGGAGGGCUCUUGGUGGCCCUAGUUCCUGGCCAGGUGUCCUGAUAGGCCCUGGAGUCACAUGUUCUGAGGGCAAGUUCUUGCUCUGGCACAGGCUUCUUAUUUCCAAACAUCUUCUCACCAGGUGGAUCUGGCCUCUCCUGCAUCACUGCUGGGGGGGGAGCGCGGAUGAGGGGGAGGGUGUCCACCCCAGCUCCCCUCCCUCUCCUCCCUCCUCCCUGACUGACAGCCCCUCCCCCAGCAUCCUCUCUCUGAACGCCCCUCCCCCCACCCCCCUCUGGCUGCUGUCUUCCUGCUGCGGUCCCCCCCCCCCAUUUGCCCCAGUGGAAUCUGCCCUUCCCGCCUCUCCCUGUCAUCUGACCUCAGCCCCCAGGCUGGCCUGUCUUGUCCGCAGGAGCUGUUUCCUGAGGUCGUGGGUCUGGAAGUUCGCUUGUGGGGCCCUUAUCCUCCUCUUUCUUCCUGCCUGCAGGAUUCGAGGCCCUCUCUGGCCCCGUGAUGGCGCUUCUGGCGCUGGACUCACGUGGUCCCCUCCCCCUUGUGCACUAACCACGCCCUCUCCAUCACCACCUGGGCCUCUGGCUUCUUGCUCCAAACUUCAGUCCGUGUAAGAUGGUUGGAGAACUUUCAAGUGCGGUGAGAGGAGCCCAAUACAGUCAGCUUAGGCAAAAAAAAAAAAAAAAA
This 3223-nucleotide long non-coding RNA is filed under the name Sus scrofa (pig). Its description in RNAcentral is "lncRNA (ENSSSCG00055027182.1)". Lineage: Eukaryota; Metazoa; Chordata; Mammalia; Artiodactyla; Suidae. The record is from RNAcentral.